GACGAACGCUGGCGGCGUGCUUAACACAUGCAAGUCGAACGGUGAAGCGCCUUCCUUUUUGGUGGGUGUGGAUGAGUGGCGAACGGGUGAGUAACACGUGAGUAACCUGCCCCCUUCUUCUGGAUAACCGCAUGAAAGUGUGGCUAAUACGGGAUAUUCUGGGUCUGUCGCAUGAUGGGUCUGGGAAAGAUAUUGUUUCGGUGGGGGAUGGGCUCGCGGCCUAUCAGCUUGUUGGUGGGGUGAUGGCCUACCAAGGCGGUGACGGGUAGCCGGCCUGAGAGGGUGGGCGGUCACACUGGGACUGCGACACGGCCCAGACUCCUACGGGAGGCAGCAGUGGGGAAUAUUGCACAAUGGGCGCAAGCCUGAUGCAGCGACGCCGCGUGAGGGAUGGAGGCCUUCGGGUUGUGAACCUCUUUCGCCAGUGAAGCAGGCCUGCCUCGUUUGUGGGUGGGUUGACGGUAGCUGGAUAAGAAGCGCCGGCUAACUACGUG
RNAcentral lists this ribosomal RNA (494 nucleotides) under uncultured bacterium. Its description in RNAcentral is "partial 16S ribosomal RNA". It matches the Rfam family "Bacterial small subunit ribosomal RNA", at positions 28 to 507 of the family's 1533-position model. The record is from RNAcentral.